UGAAUAUGGGGGGACCAUCCUCCAAGGCUAAAUACUCCUGACUGACCGAUAGUGAACCAGUACCGUGAGGGAAAGGCGAAAAGAACCCCUGUGAGGGGAGUGAAAUAGAACCUGAAACCGUGUACGUACAAGCAGUAGGAGCACCUUCGUGGUGUGACUGCGUACCUUUUGUAUAAUGGGUCAGCGACUUAUAUUCAGUGGCAAGGUUAACCGUAUAGGGGAGCCGUAGCGAAAGCGAGUCUUAACUGGGCGCUCAGUCUCUGGAUAUAGACCCGAAACCGGGUGAUCUAGCCAUGGGCAGGUUGAAGGUUGAGUAACAUCAACUGGAGGACCGAACCGACUAAUGUUGAAAAAUUAGCGGAUGACUUGUGGCUAGGGGUGAAAGGCCAAUCAAACUCGGAGAUAGCUGGUUCUCCCCGAAAGCUAUUUAGGUAGCGCCUCGGACGAAUACUACUGGGGGUAGAGCACUGUUAAGGCUAGGGGGUCAUCCCGACUUACCAACCCUUUGCAAACUCCGAAUACCAGUAAGUACUAUCCGGGAGACACACGGCGGGUGCUAACGUCCGUCGUGGAGAGGGAAACAACCCAGACCGCCAGCUAAGGUCCCAAAGUAUUGCUAAGUGGGAAACGAUGUGGGAAGGCUCAGACAGCUAGGAUGUUGGCUUAGAAGCAGCCAUCAUUUAAAGAAAGCGUAAUAGCUCACUAGUCGAGUCGGCCUGCGCGGAAGAUGUAACGGGGCUAAGCAAUACACCGAAGCUGCGGCAAUGUCUUUUAGACAUUGGGUAGGGGAGCGUUCUGUAAGCCGUUGAAGGUGAAUCGUAAGGUUUGCUGGAGGUAUCAGAAGUGCGAAUGCUGACAUGAGUAACGACAAAGGGGGUGAAAAACCUCCUCGCCGGAAGACCAAGGGUUCCUGUCCAACGUUAAUCGGGGCAGGGUGAGUCGACCCCUAAGGUGAGGCCGAAAGGCGUAAUCGAUGGGAAACGGGUUAAUAUUCCCGUACUUCUGACUAUUGCGAUGGGGGGACGGAGAAGGCUAGGUGGGCCAGGCGACGGUUGUCCUGGUUCAAGUGCGUAGGCUUGAGAGUUAGGUAAAUCCGGCUCUCUCUAAGGCUGAGACACGACGUCGAGCUACUACGGUAGUGAAGUCAUUGAUGCCAUGCUUCCAGGAAAAGCCUCUAAGCUUCAGAUAGUCAGGAAUCGUACCCCAAACCGACACAGGUGGUCGGGUAGAGAAUACCAAGGCGCUUGAGAGAACUCGGGUGAAGGAACUAGGCAAAAUGGUACCGUAACUUCGGGAGAAGGUACGCUCUUGAUGGUGAAGUCCCUCGCGGAUGGAGCUGACGAGAGUCGCAGAUACCAGGUGGCUGCAACUGUUUAUUAAAAACACAGCACUGUGCAAAAUCGCAAGAUGACGUAUACGGUGUGACGCCUGCCCGGUGCCGGAAGGUUAAUUGAUGGGGUUAGCGCAAGCGAAGCUCUUGAUCGAAGCCCCGGUAAACGGCGGCCGUAACUAUAACGGUCCUAAGGUAGCGAAAUUCCUUGUCGGGUAAGUUCCGACCUGCACGAAUGGCGUAAUGAUGGCCACGCUGUCUCCACCCGAGACUCAGUGAAAUUGAAAUCGCUGUGAAGAUGCAGUGUACCCGCGGCUAGACGGAAAGACCCCGUGAACCUUUACUACAGCUUGGCACUGAACAUUGAACCUACAUGUGUAGGAUAGGUGGGAGGCUAUGAAGACGUGACGCCAGUUGCGUUGGAGCCGUCCUUGAAAUACCACCCUUGUAUGUUUGAUGUUCUAACUUAGACCCAUUAUCUGGGUUGAGGACAGUGCCUGGUGGGUAGUUUGACUGGGGCGGUCUCCUCCCAAAGAGUAACGGAGGAGCACGAAGGUGGGCUAAUCACGGUUGGACAUCGUGAGGUUAGUGCAAUGGCAUAAGCCCGCUUAACUGCGAGAAUGACGGUUCGAGCAGGUGCGAAAGCAGGUCAUAGUGAUCCGGUGGUUCUGUAUGGAAGGGCCAUCGCUCAACGGAUAAAAGGUACUCCGGGGAUAACAGGCUGAUACCGCCCAAGAGUUCAUAUCGACGGCGGUGUUUGGCACCUCGAUGUCGGCUCAUCACAUCCUGGGGCUGAAGUCGGUCCCAAGGGUAUGGCUGUUCGCCAUUUAAAGUGGUACGCGAGCUGGGUUUAGAACGUCGUGAGACAGUUCGGUCCCUAUCUGCCGUGGGCGUUGGAAGAUUGAAGGGGGCUGCUCCUAGUACGAGAGGACCGGAGUGGACGAACCUCUGGUGUUCGGGUUGUGUCGCCAGACGCAUUGCCCGGUAGCUAAGUUCGGAAUUGAUAAGCGCUGAAAGCAUCUAAGCGCGAAGCGAGCCCUGAGAUGAGUCUUCCCUGACAGUUUAACUGUCCUAAAGGGUUGUUCGAGACUAGAACGUUGAUAGGCAGGGUGUGUAAGCGUUGUGAGGCGUUGAGCUAACCUGUACUAAUUGCCCGUGAGGCUUAACCAU
This 2500-nucleotide ribosomal RNA is filed under the name Vibrio cholerae. RNAcentral's name for it is "partial 23S ribosomal RNA". It matches the Rfam family "Bacterial large subunit ribosomal RNA", at positions 439 to 2925 of the family's 2925-position model. Lineage: Bacteria; Pseudomonadati; Pseudomonadota; Gammaproteobacteria; Vibrionales; Vibrionaceae. The record is from RNAcentral. RNAcentral also lists the same sequence under 2 other names.